This 66-nucleotide transfer RNA is filed under the name Euwallacea interjectus. Its description in RNAcentral is "tRNA-His". The record is from RNAcentral. Lineage: Eukaryota; Metazoa; Arthropoda; Insecta; Coleoptera; Curculionidae.
AUUUAAAUAGUUUAAUAAAAAUAUCAGUUUGUGGAAUUGGUGAUAUACUAUUCAGUAUUUUAAAUA